AACAAAUGCGUCCUCCUUUUCCCCAGAUUUGAAGGAUGGGUCGGGUGUAUCUUUUGUGGCCCACCAUAUCCCAGGAUUCAUUGCCGGUCAUACUGGAGAAUUUUUCUCAUAACAAUUGCGGAUGAAGCAGGAGUUAAUGCGGGAGAUGAAUACACUUUUAAAUGGAACAAAGACCAAACGGUUCAGUUUAUUAAAAUGAGAGGAGAAAAUGAACACCUCUUCACUGGAUUGAAGAAUUCAGCCACUGUGGCAUGGAGGAGAGCUCUGGAGAAGAUCGGCCUGCAGAGGACCCUUGGAGGUCAAAAAGAAAUGGGAUA
Long non-coding RNA from Oreochromis niloticus (Nile tilapia), 317 nucleotides. RefSeq lists it as uncharacterized. The record is from RefSeq and is a predicted model, not a curated record. The transcript has 3 exons. NCBI's taxonomy places the organism in Eukaryota, Metazoa, Chordata, Actinopteri, Cichliformes, Cichlidae.